GAUCCAGAACGGCAGCUGGUCCUUGCUGGGCUGUUCCUGUCCAUGUGCCUGGUCACGGUGCUGGGGAACCUGCUCAUCAUCCUGGCCGUCAGUCCUGACUCCCACCUCCACACCCCCAUGUACUUCUUCCUCUCCAACCUAUCCUUGCCUGACAUCGGUUUCACCUCCACCACGGUCCCCAAGAUGAUUGUGGACAUCCGAUCUCACAGCAGAGUCAUCUCCUAUGCAGGCUGCCUGACUCAGACAUCUCUCUUUGCCAUUUUUGGAGGCAUGGAAGAGAGACAUGCUCCUGAGUGUGAUGGCCUAUGACCAGUUUGUAGCCAUCUGUCACCCUCUAUAUCAUUCAGCCGUCAUGAACCCUUGUUUCUGUGGCUUUCUAGUUUUGUUGACUUUUUUUUUUUUCUCAGUCUUUUAGACGCCCAGCUGCACAACUUGAUUGCCUUACAAAUGACCUGCUUCAAGGAUGUGGAAAUUCCUAAUUUCUUCUGUGACCCUUCUCCACUCCCCCAUCUUGCAUGUUGUGACACCUUCACCAAUAACAUAAUCAUGUAUUUCCCUGCUGCCAUAUUUGGUUUUCUUCCCAUCUCGGGGACCCUUUUCUCUUACUAUAAAAUUGUUUCCUCCAUUCUGAGGGUUUCAUCAUCAGGUGGGAAGUAUAAGGCCUUCUCCACCUGUGGGUCUCACCUGUCGGUUGUUUGCUGAUUUUAUGGAACAGGCAUUGGAGGGUACCUCAGUUCAGAUGUGUCAUCUUCCCCGAGAAAGGCUGCGGUGGCCUCAGUGAUGUACACGGUGGUCACCCCCAUGCUGAACCCCUUCAUCUACAGCCUGAGAAACAGGGAUAUUAAAAGUGUCCUG
This 855-nucleotide long non-coding RNA is filed under the name Homo sapiens (human). RNAcentral's name for it is "non-protein coding lnc-DIRAS2-6:1". The record is from RNAcentral. Lineage: Eukaryota; Metazoa; Chordata; Mammalia; Primates; Hominidae.